This 277-nucleotide long non-coding RNA is filed under the name Marmota monax (woodchuck). Lineage: Eukaryota; Metazoa; Chordata; Mammalia; Rodentia; Sciuridae. The record is from RNAcentral.
AAGAGCGUCAACGAGAGAGAGAAACCCAAAAAGGGUGGUAUGAGUCUUGGUUCACACAGUCCCCCUGGUUAACUACGCUUUUAUCAGCCCUGGCUGGUCCUUUAAUAAUCCUUAUAUUGUUGCUAACUCUAGGACCCUAUUUGCUCAACCGUGUAGUUUCCUUUCUCCAAGCUCAAAUUGGACAAAUGAAACUUAUGGUAAUCAGACAACAAUAUACCCCACUAGCAGACAUAGAAUGUGACACCCCCCAAUGAUCACUUUUAUGAUUAAAAGUAAC